GUUUUUUUAGCAGAAACUUGAAAGGUGUAAUUGGAUGUUCGCAAUUUGGUGAAUUUUAUUUGAUUAAGGAAUUUUGGGAAAUGAAGGUUUGCGCUGUUUGUAUUGUUUGCGCUAUAUUUUAUUUGAUUUGGUGUUUAAUAUAUGUACAUAAGUGGAAAUUAACAGCUUGUUAUGCAACAGCUACCUCAGUCAUUGUUGUCCUG
RNAcentral lists this unclassified non-coding RNA (203 nucleotides) under Hevea brasiliensis (rubber tree). The record is from RNAcentral. Lineage: Eukaryota; Viridiplantae; Streptophyta; Magnoliopsida; Malpighiales; Euphorbiaceae.